GGAGAGUGCUGCGUGCCUGGUGGUCGCCGCGGUUUUCAAAACCGUUGAAGGGCAAUCUGUCCUUGGUGGGUUCAAUUCCUUCCCUCUCCGCCA
RNAcentral lists this transfer RNA (93 nucleotides) under bacterium. Its description in RNAcentral is "tRNA-Sec". It matches the Rfam family "Selenocysteine transfer RNA". The record is from RNAcentral. RNAcentral also lists the same sequence under 2 other names.